RNAcentral lists this long non-coding RNA (819 nucleotides) under Felis catus (domestic cat). RNAcentral's name for it is "lncRNA (ENSFCAG00000049899.1)". The record is from RNAcentral. Lineage: Eukaryota; Metazoa; Chordata; Mammalia; Carnivora; Felidae.
GGCCGAGCCCGGGCGCGGGGAGAAUUACGGGAAGCAAUUGUGGGAGGCAGGAGCAAGGGAGACUUUUAUUAUGACUAGUACGGUUCUGGUCAUGAUUAAAGAAUCACCUGGAACGGCCUCAAAUCCCCAUUAGAAGCUCAGUGAGAGCAGAGUCAUAUCUGUUUGCAGUGGGAGGGCAGUGGCCGGCCCUUGCUUCCCAAGAAACAGGAAACCAGAACGGAGAAAAGUAAACAAGGCCUUGCUGUCGAAACCUGAAAUCCCAUCAAAGAGAAUUCCCGGCCGGCAGAGAGUGGUCAUCAAAAACACGGAAACUCGAACAAUGAGCAGGGCGCAAAGUCAGAAAUUUAUAGGCUUUGGCCUCUGCUGCUACAUAUCCUGGAAGAAAAAAAAAAAAAGUGUUAAGAAAACAAAUGCUGGUUGUGGAUGUGAGGGCUCCAACACUGGCCGUCUGACAAAUCGACCCUGGGCCUGACCUCCGCAAUAUGUUUCCACAGGAAACGUUCUUUCCUGGAAAAUAAGGAGCGAACGCUUUUCGUAGCGAGCUGCACACAGGACCAGCGUGCCAGACUCUGCCUGGGUCCGGCCACGGGUUUGUAAGUCAAGAAAAUAACAGCCGUGGCCCCCGCAAGCCAUUAUUUAGAAGGGGGCUAGGAGAUAAAUACAUUUGUUCGAGCUCGGUGUGCCAAUCAUUGAUUCGAAUAUAAACCAAAUGAUGUGUUACAGAUGUAACAAGGUUUGGCUGCCAAGAGCUCACGGUUAACCCACCCAACUUUUCACGGGGAAGACUGGAAUUAAGCGUGCUUUAUGCUCACUCGCUAU